RNAcentral lists this ribosomal RNA (253 nucleotides) under uncultured bacterium. RNAcentral describes it as "partial 16S ribosomal RNA". It matches the Rfam family "Bacterial small subunit ribosomal RNA", at positions 524 to 776 of the family's 1533-position model. The record is from RNAcentral.
UAUGUAGGGUCCGAGCGUUGUCCGGAAUUAUUGGGCGUAAAGAGCUCGUAGGCGGUUUGUCGCGUCUGCUGUGAAAUCCCGAGGCUCAACCUCGGGUCUGCAGUGGGUACGGGCAGACUGGAGUGCGGUAGGGGAGAAUGGAAUUCCUGGUGUAGCGGUGGAAUGCGCAGAUAUCAGGAGGAACACCGAUGGCGAAGGCAGUUCUCUGGGCCGUAACUGACGCUCAUGCACGAAAGCGUGGGGAGCAAACAGG